This is a non-coding RNA of Pelobates cultripes (western spadefoot toad), 216 nucleotides long. The record is from the annotation of a GenBank genome assembly. NCBI's taxonomy places the organism in Eukaryota, Metazoa, Chordata, Amphibia, Anura, Pelobatidae.
GUUGAUUGGAGGGGAUAUGGCUUUUAUUUACGUAUUAUUUAUGGUAUCGUUAUAGCAUCCACCUUGAAUGGAAAUAGCAAACACUUGCACAUGCCACGUUAGAAUCGGCUUUCUUGCAGUGAAGCAGUAUGACUUGUUCACUUGCCGUGAUACACAGUUGCACGCUCUAUCUAGCUCUGUAUUCACAGGCUGUGCAGUAAAUCCGCCUCCUCUGAU